GUUUCCGUAGUGUAGUGGUUAUAACGUUUGCCUUACACGCAAAAGAGCCCCGGUUUGAGACCGGGUGGAAACA
This is a non-coding RNA of Syngnathoides biaculeatus (alligator pipefish), 73 nucleotides long. The record is from the annotation of a RefSeq genome assembly. NCBI's taxonomy places the organism in Eukaryota, Metazoa, Chordata, Actinopteri, Syngnathiformes, Syngnathidae.